This is a long non-coding RNA of Pistacia vera, 636 nucleotides long. RefSeq lists it as uncharacterized. NCBI's taxonomy places the organism in Eukaryota, Viridiplantae, Streptophyta, Magnoliopsida, Sapindales, Anacardiaceae. The record is from RefSeq and is a predicted model, not a curated record. The transcript is spliced from 2 exons.
UUUGGAUGGACUUUUGAAUGAUACAUUCUUAUAAUAUGUGGUAGUUGUGCUUGUGUUGGAAAUGGGGAAUAUCCCUAUUCGUAUAGCUUUUCUUGUUUCUAAUAAAAUAAAUGUUUAUUGGUAAUCUUAUUUAUGUCUUUCCCACAGCUGCUUAAAAAAAAAAAAAAAAUAUCAUAACUGCAAUAUUUUUAAUACUUUAUACUGAUCGAUUUAAUUGUUUUCUUUUUACACAGAUUGCUUCAAAAUUGUUUGAAUGACAUUGCAACAACAGUUGAACCAUGGUUUCAAGUAUGUUGACUGGAAAAUGAAGAUGGCUUCUGCCAGAAGACGUGGCAUGACUGGGGAAAGUUGCUGUUCCUAAACCAGUUAACUUAUCCAGCCAAAAGUAUCCAGUUGACUGCUCUCUUUCUUUCUUUUCAUUUAUUUUAAAGUUCGAUUAAUGGAUGUGUUUGGGUUUCCCUUUCAAAUCUCAUGUUUUCUCUCUUUGCUUCAAGGUUAGAAAAUCAUGGGCUGGACCCGAAUGUGGAAAUUGUCCCUAAGUGGGUAACAUGUCUUUGUGUUUGGGUUCUUUCCUGUCUCUCCCCAUAUUUAUAGCAUUUAAUGCCUCUGGGUGCACUUAAUUGCUUCCUUUUUUCA